UGUCUCAAAGAUUAAGCCAUGCAUGUCUAAGUAUAAGCAAUUAUACCGUGAAACUGCGAAUGGCUCAUUAAAUCAGUUAUCGUUUAUUUGAUAGUACCUUACUACUUGGAUAACCGUGGUAAUUCUAGAGCUAAUACAUGCUGAAAACCCCGACUUCGGAAGGGGUGUAUUUAUUAGAUAAAAAACCAAUGCCCUUCGGGGCUCUUUGGUGAUUCAUGAUAACUUAACGGAUCGCAUGGCCUUGCGCCGGCGACGGUUCAUUCAAAUUUCUGCCCUAUCAACUUUCGAUGGUAAGGUAUUGGCUUACCAUGGUUUCAACGGGUAACGGGGAAUUAGGGUUCGGUUCCGGAGAGGGAGCCUGAGAAACGGCUACCACAUCCAAGGAAGGCAGCAGGCGCGCAAAUUACCCAAUCCCGACACGGGGAGGUAGUGACAAUAAAUACUGAUACAGGGCUCUUUUGGGUCUUGUAAUUGGAAUGAGUACAAUUUAAACCCCUUAACGAGGAACAAUUGGAGGGCAAGUCUG
This 526-nucleotide ribosomal RNA is filed under the name Alfoldia vorosii. Its description in RNAcentral is "SSU rRNA". It matches the Rfam family "Eukaryotic small subunit ribosomal RNA", at positions 33 to 563 of the family's 1831-position model. Lineage: Eukaryota; Fungi; Ascomycota; Dothideomycetes; Pleosporales; Amorosiaceae. The record is from RNAcentral.